CCUACGGGGGGCUGCAGUGGGGAAUCUUGCACAAUGGGGGAAACCCUGAUGCAGCGACGCCGCGUGAACGAUGAAGCCCUUCGGGGUGUAAAGUUCUUUCGGCAGGGACGAUAAUGACGGUACCUGCAGAAGCAGCUGCGGCUAACUACGUGCCAGCAGCCGCGGUAAUACGUAGGCAGCAAGCGUUGUUCGGAAUUACUGGGCGUAAAGAGUGCGUAGGCGGUUGGCUAAGUUUGAUGUGAAAUCUCCCGGCUUAACUGGGAGGGUGCGUCGAAAACUGGUCAGCUAGAGUGCGGGAGAGGAUAGUGGAAUUCCUGGUGUAGCGGUGAAAUGCGUAGAUAUCAGGAGGAACACCUGAGGUGUAGACGGCUAUCUGGACCGUAACUGACGCUGAGGCACGAAAGCGUGGGGAGCAAACAGGAUUAGAUACCCGAGUAGUC
This 440-nucleotide ribosomal RNA is filed under the name uncultured Acidobacteriota bacterium. RNAcentral describes it as "bacterial SSU rRNA". It matches the Rfam family "Bacterial small subunit ribosomal RNA", at positions 338 to 795 of the family's 1533-position model. The record is from RNAcentral. Lineage: Bacteria; Pseudomonadati; Acidobacteriota.